UCACAUCUCAAAAAGUUAAUUAUUAAGUUUGAGUACAGAUAACUGCAGAAACGCACUAUGUUUUGCUCUUACUACACGAGGGACGAGCUAACUGCAUCCACACCUAGUAUAUUACUGUGCAGCGAAUUUGCAGGCACCACCGGCCCUCUCCCAUCUCCCAUGUAGUCUCAUUGAAGCGGGAUCUUGGGACGGGCAGCACAGUGCGCUCGAAGUUAACUGCAGUCGGGGGCGGCAUGGAGCGGGCGCUGCCGUCGAUGGAGCAUAGUGCACACCAGGAGACGGGGUAGGAAACCAGGGCAGAGAAGAACCACUUCUCCAUGUAGCUUCGAACACAUGUAGCAUGAGCUCCUACAACCUUGUUAUUUCCCUCUCACCCUCUGCACACUUGUUUAUUCUCAACCAAGACCACCACAAGCAAGUCGCGUUCGUAGUAGAUUUAGUGGUGGCGAUAAAAGCUAAACAAGUUAACUGAACCAAUCAAAAAAUGGGAAGUUACCUGAACCGCGUUAAAAACUACAGAACUUUAAUAAAAGUAAGUUAUUGAAGUUAACUGUUCUUUUUUCCCAUCUUUGUAAUCUUCACGAAUGUAAAAAACUUAACUGAAGUUAACUGUUGUCUCUGCAUGUCUUUGCUCCUUGCCCCAGUCUCCUAAUCACCACUAUGAGCAGCGCACGCACCACCAGUUUUGAGAAGAUACAACGGCUGAAACAUCAAACACAAGCUCAUGCGUACACCCUUGACCUGAACAUCAGUUAACAAAAAAAAAGCAGAGCAGUUAACAACAAGCAACAUCACCGGUUAACAACAAAUUUGAAGUUAACAUCAUUUAAGUAGUUAACAGUAAAUUAGAAGUUAGGAGCAGUUAAAAGAAUUAGUAGUGCAGUUAGGCUGUAGCUGCACCGUAGAGUCAAAGUAGCACCGGCUGCCUUCAUGCUUGCCACCCCGGGUGAAGGUGCAGGGGAGGUCCAAGGUGCUCGUGCUCGGCACCACGCGUUGCUAGGGGCUGCUCCUCGCAUGUAGCUACACACAACGACCCGAGUUAACUGCCGUUUUUGCAGAACGGCAAAUCCUCUGGUCUCGGUGGGCAUGCGGCCAUGGGGAGGCGCCAAGCGGCCAGGGGGAGCUGAACUUCUCGCCAUAGAAUAUAGAGGAGUCAGCCACGAGCAGCUCGCGCAGAGGUAGAUUGAUGAGAGAGGGGCAGUGGAACGAGCGGGGAGGAGGGAAUUUGCUGUAGUACCUGGGGAGAUUGGCGCGGCCACCACGCGUGAAAUAGGAGCCUGGUGGAUGGCCGACAGGGGGUGGGGCGGUGCCACACGGAAGGAAGGAGGAUGGGGACGGGCGCGAGGUCGUCGGAGGGCCGAGGGGGAGGUGCUCGAGGCCGCCGAAUGGGGAAGGAUACUGGGGCGGCGUGCCGCGGCUAGCGGGGAAGGAGGCUUUAGGGAGGGACGCACGACCGUGGGUGGGGAAGGAGGCUGGGGAGAUACACGCAUGGCCACCGGCGGGGGAGGAGGCUGGGACAGGAGCGGCGCAUCGAUUGAUCUGGAUCAGGCACGGGAGGGAACAAAUUUGUGGGGUUGAGAGAGAGAGGGAGAGAGAGAGAGAGACAAAGCGGGAGAGGUGGGUGCGGUCCAGGUUUUGUUCGGGACCUGCACGGCGGCGCAGCAACCAGCGGCAGACCAGAGCUCGCUCGCUCCCUCGCGGCACCGGAGCACCGCUCGCUCGCUCGCCCCCUUGGGAAAAGAAACAAGGUAGUCGGGGGAGGUGGUUUCUGAAUAAGCUUAUUUAGGAAC
RNAcentral lists this long non-coding RNA (1790 nucleotides) under Triticum aestivum (bread wheat). RNAcentral's name for it is "long non-coding RNA (TAES_LNC000071)". The record is from RNAcentral. Lineage: Eukaryota; Viridiplantae; Streptophyta; Magnoliopsida; Poales; Poaceae.